AGCCGAAACUGUUGGGAAACAGUGCCGAAGACAGUGAAAGCCUGGUAGGCGAAAAAGAGAAACGCGGAGAUGGCACCGGAGUACCGCGGGACACGAGAAAUCCCGUGGGAAGCAGGGGGGACCACCCUCCAAGGCAAAACACAGAUAUCGACCGAUAGCGCAUAGUACCAUGAGGGAAAGGUGAAAAGCACCCCGGGAGGGGAAUGAAAGAGAACCUGAAACCGUAUGUUUACAAGCAGUCGGAGACCGCUUAAUAAUAAGGUCGACGGCGUGCCUAUUGAAGAAUGAACCGGCGAGUUACGAAGCCUGGCAAGGUUAAGCAGGAAAUGCGGAGCCGAAGCGAAAGCGAGUCUUAAGAGGGCGCAAGUCAGGAAGCGUAGACCCGAAACCACAGUGAUCUACCCAUGUCCAGGUUGAAACACAGGUAAAAAUGUGUGGAGGACCGAACCUAUAUCCGUUGAAAAGGGUUAGGAUGAGGUGUGGGUAGGGGUGAAAUUCCAAUCGAACGUGGAGAUAGCUGGUUCUCCCCGAAAUAGCUUUAGGGCUAGCCUCAGGGAAAAGAUUGCAGGCGGUAGAGCACUGAUCAGGAGAGGGACCUACCCGGUUACCAAACCCAGUCAAACUCCGAAUGGCUGCAAUCAUACCUGGGAGUCAGACUGCGACUAAUAAGGGCCGUAGUCAAAAGGGAAACAGCCCAGACCAUCAGCUAAGGUCCCCAAUGCCGUGCUAAGUGGCGAAGGAUGUGGCAUUUCAUAAACAACCAGGAUGUUGGCUCAGAAGCAGCCACCAUUUAAAGAGUGCGUAAUAGCUCACUGGUCGAGAGACGCUGCGCCGAAAAUGUCCGGGGCUCAAGCACGGAACCGAAGCUAUGGCAUGAUAGCAAUAUCAUGGGUAGGGGAGCGUUCUUAUAAGGAAGAAGCAUGACCGGAAGGACAUGUGGACGAAUAAGAAGUGAGAAUGCCGGUAUGAGUAUCGAAAAGAAAGGUGAGAAUCCUUUCCACCGAAAGCCCGAGGGUUCCUGAGCAACGAUCGUCGACUCAGGGUAAGUCGGGACCUAAGCCGAGGCGAGAAGCGUAGGCGAUGGACAACAGGUUGAAAUUCCUGUACCGGAUCAAGUCGAUCGAGCGAAGGAGCGACGCAGGAGGGCACAUGAUCGCGCGGCUGGAAGAGCGCGUCCAAGUGCGUAUGUUGCAGCAGAGGAAAACCCCUGCAGCUAAAAGCAGAGACAUGAUGGGGAGUUAAAGGAAACUUUGACGAACUCAUGGAUCCCACACUGCCAAGAAAAACUUCUAGCGAGACAAGAUCCGCCCGUACCGUAAACCGACACAGGUAGGCGGGGAGAGAAUCCUAAGGUGCGCGGGAAAACCCUCGUUAAGGAACUCGGCAAAUUGCAUCCGUAACCUAGGGAGAAGGAUGGCCCCCGGUCAGUGAAGAGCAGAAACGCUCAGAGCUAAAAGGGGCGGCAGAAAAGAGGCCCAAGCAACUGUUUACCAAAAACACAGGUGCCUGCGAAAGCGAAAGCUGAAGUAUAGGUGCUGACGCCUGCCCGGUGCCGGAAGGUUAAGGAGAGAAGUUAGCGAAAGCGAAGCAUCGAACUGAAGCCCCGGUGAACGGCGGCCGUAACUAUAACGGUCCUAAGGUAGCGAAAUUCCUUGUCGGGUAAGUUCCGACCCGCAUGAAAGGCGUAAUGAUUUGGGCACUGUCUCAACGAGGGGCCCGGUGAAAUUGAAAUACCUGUGAAGAUGCAGGUUACCCGCGACUGGACAGAAAGACCCCAUGGAGCUUCACUGCAGCUUGAGAUUGAAUCCCGGUGACAGAUGCACAGGAUAGGUGGGAGGCGCCGAAGCAUUGCCCUAGGGCGGUGCGGAGCCGAUGUUGGGAUACCACCCUUCUGUUGCUGAGAUUCUAACGCGAGGAGUAACGACCCUGCGGACCCUCUCAGGCAGGCGGUUUGACUGGGGCGGUCGCCUCCGAAAGAGUAACG
RNAcentral lists this ribosomal RNA (1984 nucleotides) under human gut metagenome. Its description in RNAcentral is "bacterial LSU rRNA". It matches the Rfam family "Bacterial large subunit ribosomal RNA", at positions 331 to 2302 of the family's 2925-position model. The record is from RNAcentral.